Molecule: small nucleolar RNA, 99 nt
Organism: Trypanosoma brucei brucei TREU927
Lineage: Eukaryota; Euglenozoa; Kinetoplastea; Trypanosomatida; Trypanosomatidae
Source: RefSeq, a predicted model, not a curated record
AAUGUUGAUGAGAGGAACUUGUAAGUUUGAUUCUUUCCUGAGGUAGUGUGUAUUACGAAAAUUAACUUGUGAGAAAGCAUUCAAAUGUUGUUUUGAAGG